UUGGUCAAUGGCCGAAAGGCUGAACCAGUAACUUGGAAGAAUGUAACUGUAUUUGUAUAAAUACAAUAGCGAUUAAUUCGCAUAAAAUUCUAAAUAGAUUGUAUAUAAUGACAUAAUCUAUUUAUAAGUCUUGACCAAACUACGUGCCAGCAGUCGCGGUAAUACGUAGAAGGCUAGUGUUAGUUAUCUUUAUUGGGUUUAAAGGGUAUGUAGACGGUAAAUUAAACUUUAAAAAAGUACUUUUUUACUAGAGUUAUAUGUGAGAAGGAAGAAUUCUUGGAGUAGAGAUAGAAUUUGUUGAUACCAAGAGGACUGUCAACGGCGAAGGCGUCCUUCUAUGUAAUAACUGACGUUGAGAGACGAAGGCUUGGGUAGCAAACAGGAUUAGAUACCCUAAUAGUCCAAGCAGACAAUGAUGAAUGUCAUACAUUAGAUAAUUUUAAUGUAUAAACGAAAGUGUAAGCAUUCCACCUCAAGAGUACUAUGGCAACAUAUAAACUGAAAUCAUUAGACCGUUUCUGAAACCAGUAGUGAAGUAU
RNAcentral lists this ribosomal RNA (539 nucleotides) under Penicillium spinulosum. Its description in RNAcentral is "SSU rRNA". It matches the Rfam family "Bacterial small subunit ribosomal RNA", at positions 364 to 940 of the family's 1533-position model. The record is from RNAcentral. Lineage: Eukaryota; Fungi; Ascomycota; Eurotiomycetes; Eurotiales; Aspergillaceae.